GACGUAGGGCGCGAGCGUUGUCCGGAUUUCUUGGGCGUAAAGAGCUCGUAGGCGGCUUGUCACGUCGGGUGUGAAAGCCCGGGGCUUAACCCCGGGUCUGCAUUCGAUACGGGCUAGCUAGAGUGUGGUAGGGGAGAUCGGAAUUCCUGGUGUAGCGGUGAAAUGCGCAGAUAUCAGGAGGAACACCGGUGGCGAAGGCGGAUCUCUGGGCCAUUACUGACGCUGAGGAGCGAAAGCGUGGGGAGCGAACAGG
Molecule: ribosomal RNA, 253 nt
Filed under: uncultured bacterium
Lineage: Bacteria
Description: partial 16S ribosomal RNA
Rfam family: Bacterial small subunit ribosomal RNA
Source: RNAcentral